RNAcentral lists this ribosomal RNA (222 nucleotides) under bacterium enrichment culture clone ALO1_GLFRUDD03GPLFD. RNAcentral describes it as "partial 16S ribosomal RNA". It matches the Rfam family "Bacterial small subunit ribosomal RNA", at positions 8 to 225 of the family's 1533-position model. The record is from RNAcentral.
AGAGUUUAGAUCUUGGCUCAGAUUGAACGCUGGCGGCAUGCCUUACACAUGCGAGUCGAACGGCAGCACGGGAGCUUGCUCCUGGUGGCGAGUGGCCGUAACGGGUGAGUAAUGCAUCGGAACGUAUCCUGGAGUGGGGGAUAACGUAGCGAAACGUUACGCUAAUACCGCAUAUUCUGUGAAGCAGGAAAGCGGGGGACCUUCGGGCCUCGCGCUCUUGGA